GGGCGUCCUCCAUCUCUUCAAAAUUAACAAAUUCCAUCACUUGGGUCAGAAUCAAGAUAUAAAGAUGGUGGGAAAUGGAAGAAACCCGAAGCAAAAUUGGGAAAUUUGGGUCUGCUCCUUGAAUGCCUCAGAGAAAUUUAGUUGAAUUUAUCUGUGAAAUUGUUGUUUUUUGUUCCUAAUGUGCUAUUGAAAGCUCUGGAGGCAGAUCACCCAAUAAUCGACUCCAAUUUCCAGACAAACACAAAGUCAUCUUCUCUGCAGGUUCUUCUCUACCAGGAGAAUAUGGAGUGCCGGGUGGCAGGAAGAGGAGGAAGAGCUCGUCAUGUCAAUGCCAAAAAAGCCUAAUUGGAAAGGAGAAUAUGGAGUGCCCGGUGGCAGGAAGAGGAGGAAGAGCUUGUCAUGUCAAUGCCAGAAAAGCCUAAUUGGAUAAUAUACAAUGAUAAAUGUAUUUACAGUUUCAGCGUGUUCCUUUCU
This 474-nucleotide small RNA is filed under the name Malus domestica (apple). Its description in RNAcentral is "sRNA MD11G0036600". The record is from RNAcentral. Lineage: Eukaryota; Viridiplantae; Streptophyta; Magnoliopsida; Rosales; Rosaceae.